ACGUUGUUAAUUCGAAGCCAACUUCACUUUGUUUUCUCUUUGCUUUACAAUGAAAAUUCACAGUUUAGUCACUCGCUGCCACUAAAGGGCUUCCGCAAUAUAAUGCAGUUUUACAAGUCAAUAAUCUUCAGAAUAAUCAACAAUAAUAUUCAAGUACAAAAUUAAAUAAGUGCUACAAGAAUAGGCUAUGAAAAAUGGGUCAAAAAGUAUCAACUUCUAAAGAUCCUAGUAAUAUCACUCUUACGAAAAAUGAUUCACAAGAAUUGAAAACAAAAUCACAAAAGUCAUCCCGCUCAAUCGAUAGAAAAUCCAUACCUAACUCACCGAAAGAUCACAAAAGCAGUUUCGCUGACGCGGAGCAGAAGCAGCGACUGGAAUCGGGCGACGCGCCUCUACUGCCUGCUCAAAAAGAAGCCAACAGCGACGACAAUACAGCCGAUGGGGCGCUUCACGAACGAUUCGAUGACGAGGAAAAAAACGCCGACGAGGACAGAGCUCGAUGCCAGUCCUCGUCGAAAGCCAGCUCAAGCGAUGCACUGGCGGCGUUUGCCACUAUGAAUCCGAACAUCGCCGAGCUCAGCCAGCUUACCGCCUUCAGAAUGAUGCAGAAUUUCGAGGACUUUCAUGCGAGGAUCGACGAUAUGUUGCGAAAUCAAGUUAACGAAAUAAGCGAAAAAGUAAUGGACGAUAAUUUAAGCGAAAAGGACUUUCGUACAAUUAGUUACGAGAGCUUGCCCACCGUGCAGCUUGUGGAAAAUGUUGGAACUUUGAAACGUGAUUCUUCAACGUACACCAACGAUACCAAGGAAUUCGCAUUAAGCGAGCGCGAAAGUGUCAGCUUUAAUGAAGAGAAACUAUCAUGUAAGGAAGAAGAAGUAGAAGAAGAAGGAAUAGGAAGCGGAAGCCCGGAGGCAGAGACUACUACGUCCGACGACGAGGAAGAAGCCACCACCAUCAAAGGCGAGGAUGAUGACGAGCUGUUGCGAUUGAGGGAGAGACUAGAUCUACUGGAGCAGGAGAGAGACGACGCCAGGAUGAGACUUAGGAUCGUCGAGGACAGAUGCCAGACGUACGAGGACGAGUCUAGAUGCCUCGAGGCCAGUCUCGGCAGUCUCGAGGAGAAGCUCAGAGCUAACUCCAAAUCGCACAGAAUAAUGCGAACAAAGCGAGCGAGAGAAGAGCCAGACAGAAGACAACGCCUCACCUGUUUAUCUCGUUACGGCCAUUACGGCCAAAUCCCCGGGCAUUUUCCCGGGAAAACGACGAGCGCGAGCAGUAGAUCAUAGCAGCGGCAGCAGUGCCUCGUGCGCGUAAUUUCCCUUUGGGCAACGGCUACUACACUAAACCGCCGCCGCAGCAGCAGCAGCUUCGCUCCGACGCGUUUUUACGCGCAAAAAGGCUACUGCUGUGCUGUGGGAUACGAUGAUGAUGGCUGUUUCGCAGUGGUGCAGUAGUAGGGGCUUUAUGAUGGAGCUGAUGCCUUUUUCUUCCGAGCACUUGGCUUUUUUUAAGGGCUCAGGAAUAUCGCCCUUUAACGCCGACUCGUCAGCGCUGAUGAAAGGACUAAUUAAAUAGAGAUUUCCUAUAUUGUUUUUCACAAAUGUAACGAGCUCGAUCAAUAAUCUAAAACUCCCAUCGCGUGUAUAAUAUCGCAAUACUAUGCACGUCGAUGUAAUUGCGCUACGGCUGAAAAAUA
RNA transcript from Nasonia vitripennis (jewel wasp), 1696 nucleotides. RefSeq lists it as uncharacterized. The transcript has 6 exons. The record is from RefSeq and is a predicted model, not a curated record. NCBI's taxonomy places the organism in Eukaryota, Metazoa, Arthropoda, Insecta, Hymenoptera, Pteromalidae.